CAAAAAGCCAAUCGUCAAGCUGUUGACGGUUGAGCAACUAAGUAUUGUAAUUGAUUUGUUAAUAAAUAAAAUAUAUUUGGCAUCUUCAUCAUAAGCUUUCAUCUUCUAAUGAACUCUGUUGUUAUGAUGAAGUCCUUAGGACUAUUUAGGUUCGAUAAAGAGAGGAUUUAUCGAUUAGUCCUUAAAACUGUUCACGAUCAAAUGAUAGGCUGUUAAUAAGGAUGACAGCUUCUAUCGAGCAUAGGUCGCUGUAGGCCA
This 258-nucleotide long non-coding RNA is filed under the name Elaeis guineensis (African oil palm). RNAcentral's name for it is "long non-coding RNA (EGUI_LNC080884)". The record is from RNAcentral. Lineage: Eukaryota; Viridiplantae; Streptophyta; Magnoliopsida; Arecales; Arecaceae.